CAAGAGUUUGAUCCUGGCUCAGGAUGAACGCUGACAGAAUGCUUAACACAUGCAAGUCUACUUGAUCCUUUGGGUGAUGGUGGCGGACGGGUGAGUAACGCGUAAAGAACUUGCCCUGCAGUCUGGGACAACAUUUGGAAACGAAUGCUAAUACCGGAUAUUAUGCGAGUCUCGCAUGAGGUUCGUAUGAAAGCUAUAUGCGCUGCAGGAGAGCUUUGCGUCCUAUUAGCUAGUUGGUGAGGUAACGGCUCACCAAGGCGAUGAUAGGUAGCCGGCCUGAGAGGGUGAACGGCCACAAGGGGACUGAGACACGGCCCUUACUCCUACGGGAGGCAGCAGUGGGGAAUAUUGGACAAUGGACCAAAAGUCUGAUCCAGCAAUUCUGUGUGCACGAUGAAGUUUUUCGGAAUGUAAAGUGCUUUCAGUUGGGACGAAGAAAGUGACGGUACCAACAGAAGAAGCGACGGCUAAAUACGUGCCAGCAGCCGCGGUAAGACAGUGU
RNAcentral lists this ribosomal RNA (502 nucleotides) under uncultured bacterium. RNAcentral's name for it is "bacterial SSU rRNA". It matches the Rfam family "Bacterial small subunit ribosomal RNA", at positions 1 to 532 of the family's 1533-position model. The record is from RNAcentral.